CGAACGGGUGAGUAACACGUGAGUAACCUGCCCUUCACUCUGGGAUAACUCCGGGAAACCGGGGCUAAUACCGGAUAUGACAUCAACCCGCAUGGGUGUGGUGUGGAAAGUUUUUCGGUGGAGGAUGGACUCGCGGCCUAUCAGCUUGUUGGUGAGGUAAUGGCUCACCAAGGCGACGACGGGUAGCCGGCCUGAGAGGGCGUCCGGCCACACUGGGACUGAGACACGGCCCAG
RNAcentral lists this ribosomal RNA (234 nucleotides) under uncultured bacterium. RNAcentral describes it as "partial 16S ribosomal RNA". It matches the Rfam family "Bacterial small subunit ribosomal RNA", at positions 99 to 334 of the family's 1533-position model. The record is from RNAcentral.